Molecule: ribosomal RNA, 462 nt
Filed under: uncultured bacterium
Lineage: Bacteria
Description: partial 16S ribosomal RNA
Rfam family: Bacterial small subunit ribosomal RNA
Source: RNAcentral
GAUGAACGCUGACAGAAUGCUUAACACAUGCAAGUCUUUGGCGAAGCUGUGCUUGCACAGCCUAGCCAAGGCGGACGGGUGAGUAACGCGUAAGGAACUUGCCCUGCAGUCAGGGAUAACAGACGGAAACGACUGAUAAGACCUGGUAAAGUCAGGCGGACUCAUGUCCAGCCUGAUGAAAAGAGAUGCUGCAGGAGAGCCUUGCGUCCUAUUAGCUUGUUGGUGGGGUAACGGCCCACCAAGGCGAUGAUAGGUAGCCGGCCUGAGAGGGUGGACGGCCACAAGGGGACUGAGAUACAGCCCUUACUCCUACGGGAGGCAGCAGUGGAGAAUAUUGGACAAUGGGGGCAACCCUGAUCCAGCAAUGCUGUGUGCACGAUGAAGGUUUUCGGAUUGUAAAGUGCUUUCAGCAGGGAAGAAAAAAUGACGGUACCUGCAGAAGAAGCGACGGCUAAAUACGUG